GACGAACGCUGGCGGCGCGCUUAACACAUGCAAGUCGAACGAAAAGAGGGAAAGAGCUUGCUCUUUCCGGAAUUGAGUGGCAAACGGGUGAGUAACACGUAAACAACCUGCCUUCAGGAUGGGGACAACAGACGGAAACGACUGCUAAUACCGAAUAAGUUCCAAGAGCCGCAUGGCCCAUGGAAGAAAAGGUGGCCUCUACCUGUAAGCUAUCGCCUGAAGAGGGGUUUGCGUCUGAUUAGCUGGUUGGAGGGGUAACGGCCCACCAAGGCGACGAUCAGUAGCCGGUCUGAGAGGAUGAACGGCCACACUGGAACUGAGACACGGUCCAGACUCCUACGGGAGGCAGCAGGGGGGAAUCUUCCGCAAUGGGCGAAAGCCUGACGGAGCAACGCCGCGGGAGUGAUGACGGCCUUCGGGUUGUAAAACUCUGUGAUCCGGGACGAAAAGGCAGAGUGCGAAGAACAAACUGCAUUGACGGUACCGGAAAAGCAAGCCACGGCUAACUACGUG
RNAcentral lists this ribosomal RNA (513 nucleotides) under uncultured bacterium. RNAcentral's name for it is "partial 16S ribosomal RNA". It matches the Rfam family "Bacterial small subunit ribosomal RNA", at positions 28 to 507 of the family's 1533-position model. The record is from RNAcentral.